UGCAGGGAAAAACUGUUUUAAACUUAAAAAUUAAAUUUAUUUUAAUUUGUGAAGAAACAAUUAUUUAAAUUAAGGACAAGAAGACCCUAAGAAUUUUAAAAAUAAUAAUUUUAAUAUUAAAAUUAUUAUUUUUUGGUUGGGGCAACUAAAAAAGAUUAUAAACUUUUUAUUUAAUAAAAUGAUCCAUUAUUAAUGAUAAUUUGAUAAAAAUACUCUAGGGAUAACAGCGUAAUAAUUUUUGAUAGAACAUAUAGACAAAAUAGUUUGCGACCUCGAUGUUGGAUUAGGAUACUUUUUUAAUGAAGAUGUUAAAAAAAGAAGUUUGUUCAACUUUUAAAGUCCU
This 343-nucleotide ribosomal RNA is filed under the name Dermacentor andersoni. RNAcentral's name for it is "partial 16S ribosomal RNA". The stretch from base 220 to 343 matches the Rfam family "Bacterial large subunit ribosomal RNA", at positions 2473 to 2597 of the family's 2925-position model. Lineage: Eukaryota; Metazoa; Arthropoda; Arachnida; Ixodida; Ixodidae. The record is from RNAcentral.